UACGUAGGGAGCAAGCGUUGUCCGGAUUUACUGGGCGUAAAGCGCGCGUAGGCGGCCAAGCAGGUCCGUUGUGAAAACUGGAGGCUUAACCUCCAGACGUCGACGGAAACCGCGUGGCUAGAGUCCGGAAGAGGAGAGUGGAAUUCCUGGUGUAGCGGUGAAAUGCGCAGAUAUCAGGAAGAACACCAAUGGCGAAGGCAGCUCUCUGGGACGGUACUGACGCUGAGACGCGAAAGCGUGGGGAGCGAACAGG
This 253-nucleotide ribosomal RNA is filed under the name uncultured bacterium. RNAcentral describes it as "partial 16S ribosomal RNA". It matches the Rfam family "Bacterial small subunit ribosomal RNA", at positions 524 to 776 of the family's 1533-position model. The record is from RNAcentral.